Molecule: ribosomal RNA, 436 nt
Filed under: Campylobacter gracilis
Lineage: Bacteria; Pseudomonadati; Campylobacterota; Epsilonproteobacteria; Campylobacterales; Campylobacteraceae
Description: bacterial SSU rRNA
Rfam family: Bacterial small subunit ribosomal RNA
Source: RNAcentral
AGUGAACGCUGGCGGCGUGCCUAAUACAUGCAAGUCGAACGGAAUUUAAAAGAGCUUGCUCUUUUAAAUUUAGUGGCGCACGGGUGAGUAAUAUAUAGCUAAUCUGCCCCUUGCUGGAGGACAACAGUUAGAAAUGACUGCUAAUACUCCAUACUCCUUUUUACCAUAAGAUAAAUCGGGAAAGAAUUUCGGCAAGGGAUGAGACUAUAUCGUAUCAGCUAGUCGGUGGGGUAACGGCCUACCGAGGCUAUGACGCGUAACUGGUCUGAGAGGAUGAUCAGUCACAUUGGAACUGAGACACGGUCCAAACUCCUACGGGAGGCAGCAGUAGGGAAUAUUGCGCAAUGGGGGAAACCCUGACGCAGCAACGCCGCGUGGAGGAUGACACUUUUCGGAGCGUAAACUCCUUUUGUUAGGGAAGAAUAAGACGGUACCU